This 72-nucleotide transfer RNA is filed under the name Dreissena polymorpha. RNAcentral describes it as "transfer RNA glutamic acid (anticodon CUC)". It matches the Rfam family "tRNA". From Rfam's summary of the family: Transfer RNA (tRNA) molecules are approximately 80 nucleotides in length. The record is from Rfam by way of RNAcentral. Lineage: Eukaryota; Metazoa; Mollusca; Bivalvia; Myida; Dreissenidae.
UCCCAAGUGGUCUAGUGGUUAGGAUUCCACGCUCUCACCGUGGCGGCCGGGGUUCGAUCCCCCGCUUGGGAA